Long non-coding RNA from Hippocampus zosterae (dwarf seahorse), 1394 nucleotides. RefSeq lists it as uncharacterized. The transcript has 2 exons. The record is from RefSeq and is a predicted model, not a curated record. NCBI's taxonomy places the organism in Eukaryota, Metazoa, Chordata, Actinopteri, Syngnathiformes, Syngnathidae.
AUUCAUUCGGAAUCAAAGCUUUGUGUGAAAAGAAACAACUGCUUGGGCCCUAAUACAUCUAUUUUUUUGCAUUUAUAUAACACAAAAACAUGAAUGAGAGGGUGUUGGGUGUCAAAAUAAUGUUUUAAAUGAUACACACAUGUACAUCUAAAAAUGGCAUUGGCUUUUGACACUAUUCACCUCCUUAUCGUUUCUUCUCCUCAAAAGUGAUUCUAAGCUCGAAUCCAAAGUGAUGAAACAGCGCCAUCGACUGGCAGCUGUUUCUCGACACCCUUUUCCUUGCCGAGCAGCUCAAAAAUAUCCUUGAUAAAUAUAUUUACCAGUAGCGGUAAACAUUUAGAUUCCGUUUGACGAAUAUAAACAUGGCAGAGAAUGAGGUAAGAGUUAACCUUUUCAUUUUGUAAAUUCCUGGGUUAGUCAUUUCAUGACAAAAUUCCCGUUCAUCUCCAUGGAAAGUUUCCAACUGUGAAAAUGCCCACAAUUUUGCAACCCUACUUCCACCACUGAUGAUGAAGAUCAAUCAUAAAUGAGUAAAAACCUGUGAGAUCUUCAAUAUCGCCUUAACAGACACUCGCAGUGCAUUCUAUCGAUCCGUUGUUGUGCUUUUGUUCAUUUGUCAAGUAAACAGCGCAAGCUAGCUAGCCUCCAUGUUUGCAGAGAAUGUGCAAAACGAGUGGUGGGUUACACUCGUUAAAAAACAAAACAGGAUGUGACGUGUUUUCGGAAAGGCCGGGCGACAUCUGUUGCAUCAACAUGUGUUGCAAUCAUUUCCGAAAAACAUUUGCCCACUCCCUACCAACACCACCCCCCCACCCAUGCCAUCCCCAGAAGCCAGGACAUCAUUUUUUAAGUGGUUAUACUUCUUUUUUUAUUAUAAUGUUAUUAUUAUUAUAAUUAUUAUCAGUUUUUUAUCAGUAUUAUCAUUAUUAUUAUUAUUUUGACUGUUGUAUGAUUUGGCAACGCAUUUUUAGCUCUUUAUCCGAUUUUACGCCAAAGGGUUAAGCCUUGGUUUGUUUUGCCUUUUUUGCCUUUUUGUUUUUUGGGCUUUUUUUCCCCGUCAUUUGGCGUUUCAUCGUGGUUCCUCCGCACUCGAGAGGAAUACGGCGAAGCGACCUGUUAGUCGCUCCAGAGAAAACGCCUGGUUUUUAUUCUUCUGUCAAGUUUUAUGGUACCAAUUUGUACAAUUUUAAAAGUUCUUCUUUUUUAGUAUACAUGCAGAAUAUUCCAGUAUUACGACAAAAAAUCAUGUUACAAUUAAAAAAAAAAGAAAAAAAACAAAAUGAGUCAGCAUCACACUUAUAUUUUCUGAACAUUGUACUGUUGAUUUACUAUGUGCUUCAAUCUACGAAGCGAAAAAACAAACAAACUUUGAAAUAAAUGCUCUUUCUACGAAA